RNAcentral lists this ribosomal RNA (765 nucleotides) under uncultured Streptococcus sp. Its description in RNAcentral is "bacterial SSU rRNA". It matches the Rfam family "Bacterial small subunit ribosomal RNA", at positions 28 to 776 of the family's 1533-position model. The record is from RNAcentral. Lineage: Bacteria; Bacillati; Bacillota; Bacilli; Lactobacillales; Streptococcaceae.
GACGAACGCUGGCGGCGUGCCUAAUACAUGCAAGUAGAACGCUGAAGAGAGGAGCUUGCUCUUCUUGAAUGAGUUGCGAACGGGUGAGUAACGCGUAGGUAACCUGCCUUGUAGCGGGGGAUAACUAUUGGAAACGAUAGCUAAUACCGCAUAACAAUGGGUGACACAUGUCAUUUAUUUGAAAGGGGCAAUUGCUCCACUACAAGAUGGACCUGCGUUGUAUUAGCUAGUAGGUGAGGUAACGGCUCACCUAGGCGACGAUACAUAGCCGACCUGAGAGGGUGAUCGGCCACACUGGGACUGAGACACGGCCCAGACUCCUACGGGAGGCAGCAGUAGGGAAUCUUCGGCAAUGGGGGCAACCCUGACCGGGCAACGCCGCGUGAGUGAAGAAGGUCUUCGGAUCGUAAAGCUCUGUUGUAAGUCGAGAACGAGUGUGAGAGUGGAAAGUUCACACUGUGACGGUAGCUUACCAGAAAGGGACGGCUAACUACGUGCCAGCAGCCGCGGUAAUACGUAGGUCCCGAGCGUUGUCCGGAUUUAUUGGGCGUAAAGCGAGCGCAGGCGGUUUGAUAAGUCUGAAGUUAAAGGCUGUGGCUCAACCAUAGUUCGCUUUGGAAACUGUCAAACUUGAGUGCAGAAGGGGAGAGUGGAAUUCCAUGUGUAGCGGUGAAAUGCGUAGAUAUAUGGAGGAACACCGGUGGCGAAAGCGGCUCUCUGGUCUGUAACUGACGCUGAGGCUCGAAAGCGUGGGGAGCGAACAGG